UGCAAGUCGAGCGAGACCUUCGGGUCUAGCGGCGGACGGGUUAGUAACGCGUGGGAGCGUACCCUUCUCUAAGGAAUAGCCACUGGAAACGGUGAGUAAUACCUUAUACGCCCUUCGGGGGAAAGAUUUAUCGGAGAAGGAUCGGCCCGCGUAAGAUUAGAUAGUUGGUGGGGUAAUGGCCUACCAAGUCUACGAUCUUUAGCUGGUUUAGAGGAUGAUCAGCAACACUGGGACUGAGACACGGCCCAG
Molecule: ribosomal RNA, 249 nt
Filed under: uncultured bacterium
Lineage: Bacteria
Description: partial 16S ribosomal RNA
Rfam family: Bacterial small subunit ribosomal RNA
Source: RNAcentral